Molecule: ribosomal RNA, 316 nt
Filed under: uncultured eukaryote
Lineage: Eukaryota
Description: partial large subunit ribosomal RNA
Rfam family: Eukaryotic large subunit ribosomal RNA
Source: RNAcentral
AUAUUAUUAAGGGGAGGAAAAGAAACUAACAAGGAUUCCCCUAGUAACGGCGAGUGAAGCGGGAAGAGCUCAAACUUGAAAUCCGCUGGUGUAACAACCUGUGGACUUGUAGCCUAGAGACGCUCUCUCAGCGCUAGACUGGCUAUAAAUUCCCUGGAAUGGGGUAUCAUAGAGGGUGAGAAUCCCGUCUUUGAGCUGGAUCUAAGUGCGUACGAGGGGCGUUCCAAGAGUCGCGUUGCUUGGGAGUGCAGCGCAAAUUGGGUGGUAAAGUUCAUCUAAAGCUAAAUACUGGCGAGAGACCGAUAGCGCACAAGUA